Molecule: ribosomal RNA, 1132 nt
Filed under: Photobacterium ganghwense
Lineage: Bacteria; Pseudomonadati; Pseudomonadota; Gammaproteobacteria; Vibrionales; Vibrionaceae
Description: bacterial SSU rRNA
Rfam family: Bacterial small subunit ribosomal RNA
Source: RNAcentral
GUCGAGCGGCAGCGACAACAUUGACCCUUCGGGGGAUUUGUUGGGCGGCGAGCGGCGGACGGGUGAGUAAUGCCUGGGAACAUGCCUUAGUGUGGGGGAUAACCAUUGGAAACGAUGGCUAAUACCGCAUAAUCUCUACGGAGCAAAGAGGGGGACCUUCGGGCCUCUCGCGCUAAGAUUGGCCCAGGUGGGAUUAGCUAGUAGGUGGGGUAACGGCUCACCUAGGCGACGAUCCCUAGCUGGUCUGAGAGGAUGAUCAGCCACACUGGAACUGAGACACGGUCCAGACUCCUACGGGAGGCAGCAGUGGGGAAUAUUGCACAAUGGGGGAAACCCUGAUGCAGCCAUGCCGCGUGUGUGAAGAAGGCCUUCGGGUUGUAAAGCACUUUCAGCAGUGAGGAAGGCGGUAUCGUUAAUAGCGGUAUUGUUUGACGUUAGCUGCAGAAGAAGCACCGGCUAACUCCGUGCCAGCAGCCGCGGUAAUACGGAGGGUGCGAGCGUUAAUCGGAAUUACUGGGCGUAAAGCGCAUGCAGGCGGCUUGUUAAGCCAGAUGUGAAAGCCCGGGGCUCAACCUCGGAAUCGCAUUUGGAACUGGCAGGCUAGAGUCUUGUAGAGGGGGGUAGAAUUUCAGGUGUAGCGGUGAAAUGCGUAGAGAUCUGAAGGAAUACCGGUGGCGAAGGCGGCCCCCUGGACAAAGACUGACGCUCAGAUGCGAAAGCGUGGGGAGCAAACAGGAUUAGAUACCCUGGUAGUCCACGCCGUAAACGAUGUCUACUUGGAGGUUGGUGUCUUGAACACUGGCUUUCGGAGCUAACGCGUUAAGUAGACCGCCUGGGGAGUACGGUCGCAAGAUUAAAACUCAAAUGAAUUGACGGGGGCCCGCACAAGCGGUGGAGCAUGUGGUUUAAUUCGAUGCAACGCGAAGAACCUUACCUACUCUUGACAUCCAGAGAACUUAGCAGAGAUGCUUUGGUGCCUUCGGGAACUCUGAGACAGGUGCUGCAUGGCUGUCGUCAGCUCGUGUUGUGAAAUGUUGGGUUAAGUCCCGCAACGAGCGCAACCCUUAUCCUUGUUUGCCAGCACUUCGGGUGGGAACUCCAGGGAGACUGCCGGUGAUAAACCGGAGGAAGG